GAAAGACAAGAAAAGAGAAGAAAACCAGGUAGAGGAGAUUACAAACCAUACGGUAGCAGUGUUGGUCUUAUUCUCUCUCCAAAUAGUGAUUAUAAUUCAUGGAGGAGCAUCAGGUGGCAACCAUAGUAAAAGGGUCAGACAGCUGCAAGGACCUUAUUCUUGAUCAUAAUCUGUAUGAGCAUGUUGUGAAGGGGGAAUCGAAGAGUAUCACUGAAUCUGCUUUGCAAGCUCAUCUUCAUUAUCAUAACCAUCAUCCCAGUGAAUCAUCAGCCCCUCAUCAUCGAAAGGACACAAUCCUUCAUUUUGCAGUAAAAGUUGGACGAAUGGAUUGUAUAAAACAGAUCCUGGAGCUACGCCCUUCACUAUUAGCAUGUCAGAACUCAAAGGGAGACACUGCACUACAUAUUGCUGCAAGAAAUGGGAGAGAUGACGUAGUAAAACUCUUUAUUAAUCCACCAAAUAAGCAGAUCAGAUCAACCAGUACCUCCAAUCCUGAUGAUGAUAUUGAAAGUAGAGGAGAGGUUCAAUGUUAUGAAGCAACUGAUCAUGUUGUUAGAAUGGAAAAUGAUAAGAAAGAUACGGCACUGCAUGAAGCUGUGAGAAACCAUCGGCUUUUCGAUGGUAAAAGGUUAAAAAACUAUCUGGAUGUGCUGAAGUUACUGACUGAAGCCGACCCUAAGUUUGAAUGUUUUCCCAAUACCGCGGGUGAAACACCACUAUACAUGGCUGCUGAGGAAGGAUUGUAUGACUUUGCGUUACAGAUCUUGAAAGCUUGUCCCUCCUCCGCAUGUGGUGGCCCCUACGGUAGGACAGCUUUGCAUGCUGCUAUAUUUGGUCGCCAUGAACGUAUCAUAAGAAUAUUACUGGAGAAAAUGCAGAAGGACAAAACACGAGAUAUGAUCAGAAAAGCAGACAAUGAUGAGCGGACAGCACUCCAUUUUGCUGCAUUAUGGGCUUCUCCGGGCAUUGCUAAGAUGUUAAUAAAGAAAGAGAUAUCUGUAGCUUAUAAAAAGGAUAAGGGUGGGAUCUUACCAGUUCACCUCGCAGCCGAAAGAGACGAGCUAAGAAUAUUUAACUUGUUCUUCGAUCAUUGCCCAGAUUGCUUUGAACAUGUUGACCACAAUGGCUGGAAUGCUCUCCAUUUUGCAGCUGGCUGCAGUUCAGGUGGUGCAAUCAGUAUACUACGUAGAGUUCUAAUUAGUGGUGACAAUGAGCUACUCAAGGGAAUGGCUAAUGAGGGAGACAAUGAGGGAAACACGCCUUUACAUGUUGCUGUCAAGUCUGGGAAUAUUAUGUCAGUGGACGUUUUCUUAAGAUCCAGCGUUGUGGAUAAAUUGGCUAUCAACAACGAUUGCUUCACGCCACUCGAUCUCAUUGAAUUGGACACCAACAAAGAUCCAACAUUCCAGGGUCUUUUCUGGGCCCCCUUGAAGAAACAUUGGAAGGGCCGAAGUACUCCAAAACUUAUGAGGAAACUUGUUUGUAAAGAAAACAAAAAUCCUGACGCUGAAAAAAUCAAAGGAAAAAAAGAAUCUGAAGAAACUGAAUUCGACAAACAAAGAGAUGAAACACAUCUACUGGUAGCAACUUUGGUAGCCACAGUCACCUUCGCGGCUGGUUUCACAAUGCCUGGGGGUUACAACAACGAUGGUAGUGGCACUGCAACUUUAACCACAAAUGCUGCUUUCCAAGGGUUUGUUAUAUUAAACACUCUAUCUAUGGCAUCGGCCGUUGCUGCUAUUUUUUCACACUUCUGGUCAAAACUGUAUCCACAAUUUGAGGGUUUUGUUGUUUUUCCUACAAUGAGAGCUGGACUCGUAAUGUUCGCUUGCCUAGAAAUGGUAGGAGCUUUCAUGGCAGGGACGUACGUGGUGUUACGAAGUUCCCAUAUUCUGGCUGUGUCUGUUUGUUACAUCUGCGGCAUCUUCUACUUUUGUGUCGCCAUUUGUUUACUCUUGCCACACACAGUGCAUGCUGGGCUGAUUAUUAUCCGUGGGCUAGUUUCUCUCAGUGAUUGGAUGGACAGGAUGUGAAAAAAAUUGGAAAAACUCCUUGCGAAAACAGCAUCUGAGGUCGAUAAAAAAGAAGAAAAGAAAUGAGUGAGUUUUGCAAGGUAUGUAGGUUGUCAUAAAAUCAUCGUUGCUUACCUUGGUUGUUCAUGAUGAAAUCUACUGGCCUGAAGACUGAGAGAAAUCAAGCAGCUAGCUUUGUGUGGGAGUCACCUCAUAAUUAAUAAUUUCUGCUAUUUCCAUUAGUAUAGCUCUUUAUUGGUAAAUUAUUAAACUCUUGUAUGUUGCUGAUUGUGUGUAUUUUGCUUAGUACUUUGACAAUAUUCUAAUUAAAGAUAUGUAUCAGCUAGCAAUGGAUGCCAUGCUUAUUUAUA
RNA transcript from Macadamia integrifolia, 2383 nucleotides. It is a transcript of the gene named ankyrin repeat-containing protein At5g02620-like, with no coding region annotated. The transcript has 7 exons. Lineage: Eukaryota; Viridiplantae; Streptophyta; Magnoliopsida; Proteales; Proteaceae. The record is from RefSeq and is a predicted model, not a curated record.